RNAcentral lists this unclassified non-coding RNA (306 nucleotides) under plant metagenome. RNAcentral describes it as "partial contains 5.8S ribosomal RNA, internal transcribed spacer 2, and large subunit ribosomal RNA". The stretch from base 1 to 105 matches the Rfam family "5.8S ribosomal RNA", at positions 50 to 154 of the family's 154-position model. The record is from RNAcentral.
GAAAUGCGAUAAGUAAUGUGAAUUGCAGAAUUCAGUGAAUCAUCGAAUCUUUGAACGCACAUUGCGCCCGGCAGUAUUCUGCCGGGCAUGCCUGUCCGAGCGUCAUUUCAACCAUCAAGCCCCCGGGCUUGUGUUGGGGACCUGCGGCUGCCCGCAGGCCCUGAAAACCAGUGGCGGGCUCGCUGUCACACCGAGCGUAGUAGCAAUCACCUCGCUCAGGGCGUGCUGCGGGUUCCGGCCGUUAAACAGCCUUACAAAACCCAAGGUUGACCUCGGAUCAGGUAGGAAGACCCGCUGAACUUAAGC